This 583-nucleotide long non-coding RNA is filed under the name Mytilus galloprovincialis (Mediterranean mussel). The record is from RNAcentral. Lineage: Eukaryota; Metazoa; Mollusca; Bivalvia; Mytilida; Mytilidae.
UGCCAUGGCGGUCGAGUUACAUCAAACUUUCUGGUCAGGCCGGGUAUUAUGAAAUCACAGAAAAUUCAAGAACAAAAUAAUCCAAUAAUCUGUAGUAUUGUUGUCAAGAAAUACACAAGUAAAUUCACUAAUCUAUUUAUUAAAAUUCCAUUCCGGACACUAUUUACAUAACAUACAGUUUACAAAAAUGUAUAAUUGAAAUAUUCAUUAGCAAAUUACUUUCACACGGUAUAAAAUCGGCAACAGUGUCUAAUACUAUACACACAAAAAAAACCCACGCAUAGCGUCCAAUCCUAUGCGGACAAAACCACGCAACAGUGUCCAAUACUGUGCGGACAAAACCACGCUUCAGUGUCCAAUACUGAGCGGAACCACGCAACAGUCUCCAAUACUGUGCGGACAAAACCACGCAUCAGCGUCCAAUACUGAGCGGAACCACGCAACAGUGUCCAAUACUGUGCGGACAAAAAGAAUAUAAGAAAUAAUAAUAAUUCCAAAGCUAUCAGUAAUCUGCUAAGAUAUAUCUAAAAAUGUUAUGAGUCUGAAUAACAAAAAUCUGAACCUUAUAUACACAUUGCCACCA